Molecule: small nuclear RNA, 125 nt
Organism: Zalophus californianus (California sea lion)
Lineage: Eukaryota; Metazoa; Chordata; Mammalia; Carnivora; Otariidae
Source: Ensembl
GUGUUUUAUGAAAGUGAAGAAUCAGGUUAGCACUCCCCUUGAUGAGAAUGGAAAAAUAUUCUGGUGCCCUGUAACACACACACACAUUGAAGCUAUCACCACCACGGCACCUAACAAUAUUUCUU